AGAGAGAGGAACCUGUGAAUUUUACGAAUGAGUAGACUUCUUUUGUCUGUAAUCUGUAUCUAUCUUUAGCCGCCAUUAGAGGAGAAAUUACAAAGUAAUAUAUAGCAUGGCAGUUUCAUUACAAGUGAGCAACAAAGAGGAACAACAAGUGGUGAUCCAAUUUCUCUGGUCAGAGGGUGUCAGAGGGGCAAACAUUCAUUGCAGACUAUCAUCGUAAUGUGGGAGAAGUGCACUAUCGCAUAAAACUGUGUUUUUGUGGAUCGAGAA
Long non-coding RNA from Schistocerca cancellata (South American locust), 267 nucleotides. RefSeq lists it as uncharacterized. The transcript has 2 exons. Lineage: Eukaryota; Metazoa; Arthropoda; Insecta; Orthoptera; Acrididae. The record is from RefSeq and is a predicted model, not a curated record.